CUUCUUAUAUGUGAGGAAGAGGGAGAACCAUGUCUCUCUCAUGUUUCCCUCUUCUUAUAUGUGAGGAAGAGGGAGAACCAUGUCUCUCUCAUAUUUCCCUCUUCCUUCUCUCUUUCUGGCUCUCUCUUUUAUUUUUUCUCUCUACUCUCUUCAGAUGAUUUCCUAAAUCCAAUUGAGGGUCUAGGACUCUUACUUUGUAAAUUCCAGAUUGACCCUAUCAAGGGAUCCUA
RNAcentral lists this long non-coding RNA (230 nucleotides) under Elaeis guineensis (African oil palm). Its description in RNAcentral is "long non-coding RNA (EGUI_LNC002943)". The record is from RNAcentral. Lineage: Eukaryota; Viridiplantae; Streptophyta; Magnoliopsida; Arecales; Arecaceae.